Molecule: long non-coding RNA, 2214 nt
Organism: Strigops habroptila (Kakapo)
Lineage: Eukaryota; Metazoa; Chordata; Aves; Psittaciformes; Psittacidae
Source: Ensembl
CGUUUCCACAGCGACGGGCCCAGCGGUUUAAGCCGCGCCGAGGGUCCGGUGGCUGUCGCGCCGGCUUCAGCCGGGGGCUCCGCUGCCCGCCUUGGGCAUGAGGCGGGUACGGGGCCGCUCUCAACCGCCUCCGCGGGGAGAAGGUGAGGAAAGGGGGGGUGGCGGAGCAGCGGGGGGUUUACCGGGACCUUCCCGGAGCGGCUGCCCGGGGCACGGCCUGGCCCGGCCCUCGGUCGGUCCCGGUUUCCAUGCUCCCUCCUGCUGCCGGCGGCUGAACAUCGGAUGGCGUGGAGCCGGUAACUCCCGGGUGAUUUAUAGCGAACUAGUUAACCUGUACAGUUACCAACUGUGUUAGCUCUCCUGAGGGUGACUCUGUACGCUGUUCCUGUGUUUAGUCUGUUCCAUAGCUGGGUAGAACAGAGUGUCACUGCAUGGGGCAGCCCACCGGGAGCGGGAGAUGCUGCAUCCCCAGGUCUCCUCACACGUAGCUUUGUUUUCCAUCAGUUUUGGUGGAUAAUCAAUGCACCAGCUACAAGAGAAGUCACUGACUUGGAAAGGCAAGAGGAACUUUGCUUCUGAAAGGGGACAGAAGUGUUAUACACAGCUUGUUUCCUUCUGGAGAGUCUGUUGGCAGAGACAUGGCUGUGGGAUGGCUGCAGCCUCAGGGAUGGUUCAAGCAGGAGGUGCCUUGUGCUCGCUUUAGUGUAAACAAAAUCCUGUCAAAUUGUACCUAAGUUAUUGGCAUUAAAUGUUAAAACCACCUGGUGUUAUAAACCAGCAAAAUCUCACAGCAAAACAGGGAUUCCAGGCUCAGCAUGGGGUUGGAAUGGAGAAAUCUUCUUUCUGGGAAAGGAGAAUUUCUUCAAAUAACCUGAGUGGGUUUUGUAACGGGUAGCUCAAAGUGAUGUGCAAGCAAGUUUUGAUCAACCUGGUGAGAAAAAAUCACCUGAUUAGUAACUAUUUCUCAUCAUCGAUGAGCCAGUUGCUGUGUAACAAUUUAAACUAUAAAUGCAGGCAGAUAUUGCUGAUUUCUUCAAUAGCUGAAGUUAGGAAUUACUUUGUUUUCCAGCCUGCUUGUUGAUAGGACUGUGCUAAUGUGCAUAAAUUACAUUCUUUUUGUUCUGGUUUCAGCUGUAACAGUUAUCUUUCUCCUUCCCAAUAGCUGGUGCAGCACUGUGUUUGGGCUUUAGUCUGAGAACAAUGCUGGUAACACAUCGAUGGUUUAGUUGUUGCUCAGCAGCACUUACCCUGACCAAGGACUUUUCAGUCUCAUGCUCUGCCAGUGAGGAGGGACACGGGAGGCCAAGAGGAAGCAGAGGCAGGACACCUGACCCAAACUGGCCAAAGGGGUAUUCCAUACCACAGCACGUCAUGCCCAGUAUAGAAACUGGGGGGAGUUGGCCAGAAGGGACCAAUCGCUGCUCUGGGACAGACUGGGCAUCAGUCAGCGGGUGGUGAGCAAUUGUAUUGGGCAUCACUUGGGUUUAUUGGUUUGGGUUUUUUUUCCUUUUCACUUUUAUAUUCUCUUCCAUUGUUAUUUCCCUCAUCAUUAUCGUUAUUAGUAGUAGUAGUUUUGUAUUAUACUUUAGUUAUUGGCCUGUUCUUAUCUCAACCCAUGGAGUUUACAUUCUUUCAAUUCUCCUCCCCAUCCCACCCGGGGAGUGAGCGAGCGGCUGCUGGUUCUGAGUUACUGGCAGGGUUUAAACCACGAUACUUUUGUAUUCUUGCCCCCUACUUCUCUACCAGUUGACCCCCAAAGACAUUUCCAGCCCUUUGGUUGGCACUGAUGCAGGACCAUUUGUGUACUAGGAUCAGAGUAAUUCUGCUCUUUCAGCACAUUGGCAUGCUUGCUGUCUUCCAGCCCUUCGGAAAGAAAAGGAGCUUCCUUUUCUUUCAGCAAGCUUGUGCGCAAAUUAAUCGGACUAACUGAAGUUGCUUAUCCCUGUUAGAUGUUAAUUUAGCAUCCUCUGUAGCUACUGAGGAACAGUGAGCGUGGAGCAGAGGUACUUCAUGUCAGCUCAGGCCCAGCAGAGCUUCUUGGUGCUGGUUUUGCAAUGCUACCCCUGACCUGCUGCCAGUAUUGUACUCCAUAGCAUGUGCUGCACCCGUGAAGCCGAGCAGCCUAACUCUCUGUUGAUAAAAGCUCAUCCCAGCUCUGUGGCAAGCAAAAAGCAACAACUAAUAAUCCAACACAAACUGGAAAGAAAAAAAAAA